UGGUGAUCUUUAUUUUGCUGCACCUUGCUGCCUCCUGGAUCGUUUGAAAAAUGAAAAAGAACCAAUGGUGUUGAAACUUAAGGACUGGCCACCAGGAGAAGAUUUUAGAGAUAUGAUGCCUUCCAGGUUUGAUGAUCUGAUGGCCAACAUUCCACUGCCCGAGUACACCAGGCGAGAUGGCAAACUGAACUUGGCCUCUAGGCUGCCAAACUACUUUGUUCGGCCAGAUCUGGGUCCCAAGAUGUAUAAUGCUUAUGGAUUAAUCACUCCUGAAGAUCGGAAAUAUGGAACAACAAAUCUUCACUUAGAUGUAUCUGAUGCAGCUAAUGUCAUGGUCUAUGUGGGAAUUCCCAAAGGACAGUGUGAGCAAGAAGAAGAAGUCCUUAAGACCAUCCAAGAUGGAGAUUCUGACGAACUCACAAUAAAGCGAUUUAUUGAAGGAAAAGAG
Molecule: small RNA, 448 nt
Filed under: Pongo abelii (Sumatran orangutan)
Lineage: Eukaryota; Metazoa; Chordata; Mammalia; Primates; Hominidae
Description: processed transcript
Source: RNAcentral